UAUUUGAGGUUUCUACUGUAAUGGCAGUAAAUGUAUUCCCAUAUAAUCCCGCAAUGCUGAUCUAAUAUGAAGCUUUUAAUCAAUGAAACUGUCCAUUACUAUAAUGAUGUUCAAAAUCCGGGUUUUAAUAUUUUGGUUAUAAAUAUAACAACUAUGGGUCUUUUUCUUAUCUUCUUCCAUUUCAGCGGACAUCUGGUCCUUGAUAAUUGGAGGGUAGUGGAAGUCCUAUACACAAUUCCAACUACUCUUCUUAAUAAUCCAGCAGAAAAUUCAAAUCAUAGCAUUUAGAAUAGUUCACAAUCAUCAUAUCUCACUAUCAGAGAUUUCUCUCAAACAAACAUCUUUGUAGCAGCAUUUUUCAGUUCCCUUCAGAAGUUGUUGGGUCUUUUUCAUGGGUUUUUCUGAUGAACUCGGUACUUCAAAUCGUCUUCAUCUUGCCUAUAUCUCCUCACCUACUUGGAAGUGCCACUGGCAUCCAAAAUACUUGUUGCAGGGACAGCUCGAUCAAAAGACUGCACAGAAAAGGAAGAGACUUAGCUUGGGUUGGAAUCAGAACAGCUAAAGGAGGAGGCUUUAUUGUCUGUGACGGCCAAAGCUUAUGACGUUCUUUUUCUCCAACCAUGCUGCAAAGGUUUAGCUAAGUUUAAUUAAGAAUUCGUAUGUCUACUCUUUUUCAUGCUAAAAGAGAGCGGUAUCAGACUUCAUUCAACGUCAGAAAAAGACAAUGGUGCAAGGCAAAUGAACCAUGUGCAAGAUUUGCUCACUCUUCUUCUAUACGGACAAAGGCAAGGCCAAAACUGGUAAAGAGGUGUGGCAGUGGCAGCUUCCUUAUGAGAGGACUCCUCUUUCACACCUUCACCGGCAAGGGGAAUCUUUUCUUCAUUUUGUUGUUGGGACCAGAUAACUACAAUUGAUGCCUCAUUGUUUGGUGGCAUAUGUUUUUUAUGAUAGAUACGGAUUUUGUUAUCCAUUUCUUGUUCUAUUUUGCGUUUGUUUUUAAACCCUUUACCUUUUUAUCUGAAAUAUUAUUUUACUUUUGCGUAUUAUCCAGACCAAGAGAUAAUUGCAUUGCAACAUGUUUGCUGUCAUGAAAGAUGAGACGAAAAACCAAAGACCCACCACCAUGGACCACAGCACUUGACCAUAUAUGAUUAGGCCCCAUCAAACUCAUCAUAGGACAUGUUAACUGGACAAACUAUAAUAGCAAUUUGCAGACUUUCAACAAUUUUAGACAAUUAUAAUCUAAAUGCACCUGCAAGCUGCUUCAUCUUGGAGGAAGUCAAUUCAGAAAUAACAUGAAUUUAAUUAUAAAGUUUCGAGCAGUAAUAGGAGGCAACAUAAAUGUAAGCUCUUCUAACCCUCUUUCAAUCCCUCUCAAACAUCAUGAUCAACUAAAGCAUGUAUGUUGUUUUAAAUAAUAGAAAGGUUUUUGCAGCAGCUAAUAUUGGUCCAUGCUCACUAGUCGCGCUCACUAAUAGCUGUCAGAUGUUCAUCAAUUUCCUCAGUUGACAACACUCUGAAAGCUGGGUUAU
Gossypium arboreum is the source of this 1532-nucleotide long non-coding RNA. RefSeq lists it as uncharacterized. Lineage: Eukaryota; Viridiplantae; Streptophyta; Magnoliopsida; Malvales; Malvaceae. The record is from RefSeq and is a predicted model, not a curated record. The transcript is spliced from 2 exons.